GACGUAGGGGGCCAGCGUUGCUCGGAAUUACUGGGCGUAAAGGGUUCGUAGGCGGUGUGGCAAGUCGGGAGUGAAAUCUCUGGGCUUAACUCAGAGGCUGCUUCCGAGACUGCCGUGCUAGAGUGCGGGAGAGGCGAGUGGAAUUGCAGGUGUAGCGGUGAAAUGCGUAGAUAUCUGCAGGAACACCCGUGGCGAAGGCGGCUCGCUGGACCGCAACUGACGCUGAGGAACGAAAGCUAGGGGAGCAAACAGG
This 253-nucleotide ribosomal RNA is filed under the name uncultured bacterium. Its description in RNAcentral is "partial 16S ribosomal RNA". It matches the Rfam family "Bacterial small subunit ribosomal RNA", at positions 524 to 776 of the family's 1533-position model. The record is from RNAcentral.